This is a long non-coding RNA of Pongo pygmaeus (Bornean orangutan), 3399 nucleotides long. RefSeq lists it as uncharacterized. The record is from RefSeq and is a predicted model, not a curated record. The transcript has 4 exons. Lineage: Eukaryota; Metazoa; Chordata; Mammalia; Primates; Hominidae.
CGCGGGCGGGGGCGUCCAGGAGAGCGCUGGGCCCCGCCUGUCUGCGCUGGAGAGCAGGUCUCCUGGCUCCCCUACCCGAGAGCCUUCCUUCCCGGGUCUCUCUGACGCCCUCGGCUCCCCACAGGCCUUUCCCCUCGCGUCCUCCCUCCCUUUCCAGCACCUUCACUCGGCCGGUUUUUCUUCCUCUUCCUCGGCACUGAGCUGAGACGCGCUGAGCAGUUUGCUCUCCUUUUUCCACUUCAUGCGUCGGUUCUGGAACCAUAUCUUGAUCUGCCGCUCCGUCAGGCACAGGGCGUGCGCGAUCUCGAUGCGCCGCCGCCGCGUCAGGUAGCGAUUGUAGUGAAACUCCUUCUCCAGCUCCAGCGUCUGGUAACGCGUGUAUGUCUGGCGGCCUCGCCGGCCGCUGGGCCCAAAGGAGGAACCUGUUACGCAGAGUGGAGAUGGUGAGGCCUGCGGUCACUGGGCCCAGGGCCCCCUCCCCUAGUCGACCCUCGAACACAGACUCCAGCCAGUACCGGGAUACCCUCUAUUCUGCCGGUUCCCUUCCCCCGUUUCGCACUCCUCCAGCGCCCCCUCCAGAUUCCCUCCUAGUCUCCUAGGCCUGUGCCGUCUGUCUAGACUCUAGAUGGGGGAGGGGAGGAGCAGUUUGAACUCCCACCUGAGCCUGGGGGGAGGGGCUGGUCAGGUGUGUCUCUUCCUAGUCGCAUCUUGUCUUUCCCUCCCUUUCCAUCCAUCUUGUUCCCCACCAUCCCGCCAACCCAGUGAUAAAUCCAGGCCCUUAAUCCGUAAUGACGUAGAUCGAUCCACAGUCCACAUUAACGGCUCCUCACUUUCGAGUCCGGCUAAUGGACAUCGGUUGGGACUUAAGGCCAACAAAUAAUCCAGCCUGAGAUCCCGCGCCUGUUUCUCCCUCUCUCGCUCCGCCUGCUCCCUCUCUCUUCCUUCCCCUUAUUCCUCCUCCCUCCUCUGACUACCACCCCUUUCCUGGCGCCUCAUCUUGCCCCAGCCCCCCAUCCUCAGGGAAACACAGUCCCAGACAGACUCAACUCUUCCUCUUCAGCGUCACCCCCUACCCCCUUGCAUGACGCACUCCGUUUUUAAUGGAGCCGUCUUUGGUUGGGGAACCCUACCAGGGCUGGGAGAGGGGGGCUGGGGGCGCAAAGUAAAGCCAAGCCAGUGACUGCGGGCCCCUGCUCCUUUCCCUGUCCUGGAACCCCGGUUCUGGCCAGGCGCCCCAGGAGAGCACACUUGCUCCCCAUGGCUCCCAGUGCAGCUGGGACUUUGCAAACUUUGUAACUCCUGCCUAAUAGGGGACACAGCGAGAGACCCCGGGCAGGCGCCCAAUCUUCUUCUGUCUCCUAACUGAGAUGCCCACCCAGCACCCUGUGGGAGAUUGGGGCAGGGGGCGCUCACUAGUUCUGUGUCCCGGGGUGGGGACCCAGGGGAGCCGGGGCGACAGCGACGGGAAGUCUCACUCACUGUUGCACGAAUUCAUCCGCUGCAUCCACGGGUAGACCGGAGUGGAGCACUUCUGCUCUUCUGUCUCGCCGAACACGCUCUUGUCCUGCGCGCAGUCCGACUUCCGCGGCUCGGGGUGGAACGGGGGCUGCUCGUCUGCGCCGGAGAGUGCGCAGGCCGACUCCUUCUCGCGGUAGAAGGCCGGCGCCGGCCCGUAGUCGCAGGGCGCCGCUCGGCCGUAGCCACCGCCCGUCGGCGGGUAAUAGGAGGAAGUGGCAAAACCCUUGUCCUGGCCCGGCCCUGGCCCGUAGGGCGCGGGGUAAUGUCUCAGCGGGUCCGCAUAGCCCGACGAAUAGAGCGGUAGCUGGCCCAGGAAGGACUCCUGCCCGCUGGCCAGAGUGACGGGGAAGGUGGAGUUCACGAAAUAGGAACUCAUUGGGAGGGGAGGCGCGCGCGGCCGCUGCUGCUCCGCCGGGUUUAUGAUUUGUUGUGUUUUAUAGUGCGAGCGCCGCGCCUAUUAGUAGUAUAUCCGAGAUUGGGUUUUAGCUGAGGGGGGAUGGCGAGGUGCCAGUGAGGGCCAGAAGGAAAUACAACCAUCUGAUCCAACACUGACCAAUGGCAGAGGCAGGAAUUGUCAAAUAGCACCCAGGAGGAGCGCAGCCUGCACGAGGGACCCGCGCACAAACCUAUCAACCUUUUUUUUCCUCCUUCUCCUUCGCCUUUCUCUCUCUCUCUCCGCAACAACACAACGCGUCCUGUUCCACCUACGUAGGAUCUGUGAAACAGGCUCUGUGCCUCUGAGGGAGGAGGGAACGUUUAGAUUGAGACCACCCCACUCCCGGGUGAUUAAAUAAAUAUAUCUCUCCCCCACCCCACGCAGGAUUGGAAAAAGUUAAUUGUGUUUUCAGAAAAGUUAACCCCUGCGUUGCUUAGGCCCCUUCUCUCCAGGGAGGGGUGGGUAAAUGUCUCCGAAUCGCCUUGAGAGAGAACUAAAGAAGAAGGUUUGUUUCUAGGGUUUUGUGUCGGUAGAAGGUGAGAAGAGUUCUCCGCUAAGAUAAGCAAAGAAGAAACACCCUCCUCCCCAGGUUUUGAACAUCGUUUUUCCUGUUUAUCAGAUCUGCUCUCUCUCCUCCAAGCCUCGGGUUAUUGUUCCUGCUUCUCCACAACCCUUCUGGUCUGAGGGGGCAGGCCAGAUCCCACUGCCUAGAAGACCCAGAUGAAGAGGAGCUGGCAGGAGGGACUGAGCCCAAGCUUCCCCUUCUGACUCUGUGGCUAGACUAGGAGCUUCUUGGAAGGCGGCGACGAGGGCGGCUGCCCAAAACAUUCUGCCUUGUUCUAGUUGCUUGUCUGGAGACAGAGCCACUACGGGCAGGGCCUGGGCGCCUGGAGUCGGGCAUGAAAGGAAAUAGCGCCUCAUCGCUCUUAUCUAAGCCCAGAGGCCCAGGGGACAACCUAAGGGCCCUGAAGUGUUUCAAUACCAUGUACCAGCUUGACUUCUCUACCUGUCCUUUGGAUUGCCCAAAAGCAAAAUCUCGGAGGGGCCAAGGACCUUCCAGGGCUGACUCCUUCAGGGCCUCCUAUAGAGCAGCUUCCUGAGUCGGGCCUUAUAGCCACCAGAAAGUCACCUCGCUGCAGAAAAGCUGUUAAGAGCUGCUUCAGAGGCGCCGAAAGCGGGUCUACUUCGCUUGAAAAGAUCGAGAAUGGGGGAGGGGAUCGUCACUCACUUGCAGACAUCAACAGUUUCCAGAAAACUCGGUUCAAUUCCUUCACCACGGACCCACCAACCAAGGAGCUGGCAAGACCCACCAGCCAACCAGGAGAACACAGACCCGGUUUGUCUUUUGACAACCGAGUGGAACUGACGGGGCCGGCGCCUGCCCUGCGGGUCCCCUCCCUUGGCUGAGAAGAAAACCAAAUAAACCUUGAACAGCCUUGGCUUCG